This 783-nucleotide ribosomal RNA is filed under the name Curtobacterium citreum. RNAcentral's name for it is "bacterial SSU rRNA". It matches the Rfam family "Bacterial small subunit ribosomal RNA", at positions 70 to 863 of the family's 1533-position model. Lineage: Bacteria; Bacillati; Actinomycetota; Actinomycetes; Micrococcales; Microbacteriaceae. The record is from RNAcentral.
UGAUGCCCAGCUUGCUGGGUGGAUUAGUGGCGAACGGGUGAGUAACACGUGAGUAACCUGCCCCUGACUCUGGGAUAAGCGUUGGAAACGACGUCUAAUACUGGAUAUGACUGCCGGCCGCAUGGUCUGGUGGUGGAAAGAUUUUUUGGUUGGGGAUGGACUCGCGGCCUAUCAGCUUGUUGGUGAGGUAAUGGCUCACCAAGGCGACGACGGGUAGCCGGCCUGAGAGGGUGACCGGCCACACUGGGACUGAGACACGGCCCAGACUCCUACGGGAGGCAGCAGUGGGGAAUAUUGCACAAUGGGCGAAAGCCUGAUGCAGCAACGCCGCGUGAGGGAUGACGGCCUUCGGGUUGUAAACCUCUUUUAGUAGGGAAGAAGCGAAAGUGACGGUACCUGCAGAAAAAGCACCGGCUAACUACGUGCCAGCAGCCGCGGUAAUACGUAGGGUGCAAGCGUUGUCCGGAAUUAUUGGGCGUAAAGAGCUCGUAGGCGGUUUGUCGCGUCUGCUGUGAAAUCCCGAGGCUCAACCUCGGGCUUGCAGUGGGUACGGGCAGACUAGAGUGCGGUAGGGGAGAUUGGAAUUCCUGGUGUAGCGGUGGAAUGCGCAGAUAUCAGGAGGAACACCGAUGGCGAAGGCAGAUCUCUGGGCCGUAACUGACGCUGAGGAGCGAAAGCGUGGGGAGCGAACAGGAUUAGAUACCCUGGUAGUCCACGCCGUAAACGUUGGGCGCUAGAUGUAGGGACCUUUCCACGGUUUCUGUGUCGUAGCUAACGCAUUAA